RNAcentral lists this ribosomal RNA (253 nucleotides) under uncultured bacterium. Its description in RNAcentral is "partial 16S ribosomal RNA". It matches the Rfam family "Bacterial small subunit ribosomal RNA", at positions 524 to 776 of the family's 1533-position model. The record is from RNAcentral.
UACAUGGGGUGCAAACGUUGCUCGGAAUUAUUGGGCGUAAAGCGCGCGUAGGCGGUUACUUAUGUCGGAUGUGAAAGCCCUCGGCUUAACUGAGGAAGUGCAUUCGAAACUGGGUAGCUAGAGUACUAAAGAGGGUCGCGGAAUUCCCGGUGUAGAGGUGAAAUUCGUAGAUAUCGGGAAGAACACCCGUGGCGAAGGCGGUUCUCUGGGACGGUACUGACGCUGAGACGCGAAAGCGUGGGGAGCGAACAGG